GACGAACGCUGGCGGCGUGCUUAACACAUGCAAGUCGAACGGAAAGGCCCUGCUUGCUGGGUACUCGAGUGGCGAACGGGUGAGUAACACGUGGGUGAUCUGCCCUGCACUUCGGGAUAAGCCUGGGAAACUGGGUCUAAUACCGGAUAGGAGCCAUUUUUAGUGUGAUGGUUGGAAAGUUUUUUCGGUGUAGGAUGAGCUCGCGGCCUAUCAGCUUGUUGGUGGGGUAAUGGCCUACCAAGGCGGCGACGGGUAGCCGGCCUGAGAGGGUGGACGGCCACAUUGGGACUGAGAGACGGCCCAGACUCCGACGGGAGGCAGAAGUGGGGAAUAUUGCACAAUGCGCGCAAGCCUGAUGCAGAGACGCCGCGGGGGGGAUGACGGCCUUCGGGUUGUAAAAUCCUUUCGCUAGGGACGAAGCUUUUUGUGACGGUACCUAGAUAAGAAGCACCGGCUAACUACGUG
RNAcentral lists this ribosomal RNA (465 nucleotides) under uncultured bacterium. RNAcentral describes it as "partial 16S ribosomal RNA". It matches the Rfam family "Bacterial small subunit ribosomal RNA", at positions 28 to 507 of the family's 1533-position model. The record is from RNAcentral.